RNAcentral lists this unclassified non-coding RNA (233 nucleotides) under uncultured Agaricaceae. Its description in RNAcentral is "sequence contains ITS1". The record is from RNAcentral. Lineage: Eukaryota; Fungi; Basidiomycota; Agaricomycetes; Agaricales; Agaricaceae.
UUGAAUAUACUUGAUGGGUUGUCGCUGGCCUCUUGAGGCAUGUGCACGCUUGUCUUGAUUCUAUUCGUCCUCCUGUGCACUUAUUGUAGUCUUCUAUCCAUGGGACAAAAAGCAGGGCCUCUCUGGGCUGUGGAAUUGUGCCUCGGAAAAGGGGACUAUGUCUUUAUCAUAAACGAAUGUAGUAUGUUGUUAGAAUGUGUUCAAUGGGCAUUCAUGCCUAUAAUAACCUUAUA